UCCUGGCUUAGGACGAACGCUGGCGGCGUGCCUAAUACAUGCAAGUCGAACGGGGAAUGAGGAGAGAUUAUCUGAAUCAUUCUAGUGGCGAACGGGUGAGUAACGGCGUGAGCAACCUAGUCCUAAAGUGGGGAAUAACAGCUGGAAACAGCUGCUAAUACCGCAUAAGACCACGCUGUCGCAUGGCAGAGGGGUCAAAGAUUUAUCGCUUUAGGAGGGGCUCGCGUCCCAUUAGAUAGUUGGUGAGGUAACGGCUCACCAAGUCAACGAUGGGUAGCCGAGCUGAGAGGCUGAUCGGCCACACUGGAACUGAGACACGGUCCAGACUCCUACGGGAGGCAGCAGUAGGGAAUAUUGGGCAAUGGGCGCAAGCCUGACCCAGCAACGCCGCGUGAGGGAAGAAGGUUUUCGGAUUGUAAAACCUCUGUCCUUGGUGACGAAACAAAUGACGGUAGCCAAGGAGGAAGCCCCGGCUAACUACGUGCCAGCAGCAGC
Molecule: ribosomal RNA, 495 nt
Filed under: uncultured bacterium
Lineage: Bacteria
Description: bacterial SSU rRNA
Rfam family: Bacterial small subunit ribosomal RNA
Source: RNAcentral